Molecule: ribosomal RNA, 923 nt
Filed under: Ochrolechia alboflavescens
Lineage: Eukaryota; Fungi; Ascomycota; Lecanoromycetes; Pertusariales; Ochrolechiaceae
Description: SSU rRNA
Rfam family: Bacterial small subunit ribosomal RNA
Source: RNAcentral
AAUGGCCUAACGGCCGAACCAGCAACUUGGAGGAAUGUAUAGCGAAAGCUAGUUGCAUUAACUAACUGUUAAUGCAGCAGCGACUAUGUCGUGUAAAGUUCAGGGUAGAGUUAUGAUUAUGACAUUUUCUAUCUGUGUGUCUCGACCAAACUACGUGCCAGCAGUCGCGGUAAUACGUUGGAGACUAGUGUUAUUCGUCUUUAGUAGGUUUAAAGGGUACCUAGACGGUUAUUUCAGCCCCCAAAGGGUACUGAAAGUACUAGAGUUUUAUGAGAGAGGGGGUGUACUAAUGGAGGAGAGAUGAAAUUCAGUUAUACCAUUAUGAACAGGCAACAGCGAAGGCAACCCUUUAUGUGUAAACUGACGUUGAAGGACGAAGGCUCAGUCAACCAACAGGAUUAGAUACCCUAGCAGUCUGAGCAGACAAUGAUGAAUGUCAUAGACUGGAAUAAUAAAUUAUUAUAAUUUACAUAUAUAUAUAAUUAUAUAUGGGAAAACAUUUUUAUGUUUUUUUUAAAUUAAGUCUAUAAAUUAAAGUGUAAGCAUUCCACCUCAAGAGUAACGUGGCAACGCAGGAACUGAAAUCAUUAGACCGUUUCUGAAACCAGUAGUGAAGUAUGUUGUUUAAUUUGAUGAUCCGCGGUACACCUUACCACAAUUUGUAUGUUUAGUAAUAAAUACAAGAGUUGCACGGCUGUCUUCAGUUAAUGUCGUGAGAUUUUGGUUAGUUCCAUUAAAUUAACGUAAACCCUUACUUUAUUUUAGUAAAUAGAGUAGUUCACCGCUAUAUUGGAAUAUGAUAAUAGGGACUAAGACAAGUCAUCAUGGCCCGAACAUUGUGGGCUAUAGACGUGCCACAUGCGCCUAUACAAAGGGAUGCGAAAUUGUGAAAUUGAGCUAAUCCCUAAAAUAGGAUAGAAAAU